GACGAACGCUGGCGGCGUGCUUAACACAUGCAAGUCGAACGGAAAGGCCCUGCUUUUGUGGGGUGCUCGAGUGGCGAACGGGUGAGUAACACGUGAGUAACCUGCCCUUGACUUUGGGAUAACUUCAGGAAACUGGGGCUAAUACCGGAUAGGAGCUCCUGCUGCAUGGUGGGGGUUGGAAAGUUUCGGCGGGUGGGGAUGGACUCGCGGCUUAUCAGCUUGUUGGUGGGGUAGUGGCUUACCAAGGCUUUGACGGGUAGCCGGCCUGAGAGGGUGACCGGCCACAUUGGGACUGAGAGACGGCCCAGACUCCUACGGGAGGCAGCAGUGGGGAAUAUUGCACAAUGGGCGGAAGCCUGAUGCAGCAACGCCGCGUGCGGGAUGACGGCCUUCGGGUUGUAAACCGCUUUCGCCUGUGACGAAGCGUGAGUGACGGUAAUGGGUAAAGAAGCACCGGCUAACUACGUG
Molecule: ribosomal RNA, 468 nt
Filed under: uncultured bacterium
Lineage: Bacteria
Description: partial 16S ribosomal RNA
Rfam family: Bacterial small subunit ribosomal RNA
Source: RNAcentral